UGGAUCCAGACUUUGAUCCUGGCUCAGGACGAACGCUGGCGGCGUGCUUAACACAUGCAAGUCGAACGAGAAUCUAAUGACGGAGUUUUCGGACAACUGAUUUAGAGGACAGUGGCGGACUGGUGAGUAACGCGUGAGGAACCUGCCUUUCAGAGGGGGACAACAGUUGGAAACGACUGCUAAUACCGCAUGACGCAUUUUGAUCGCAUGGUCGAAAUGCCAAAGAUUUAUCGCUGAAAGAUGGCCUCGCGUCUGAUUAGCUAGUUGGUGAGGUAACGGCCCACCAAGGCGACGAUCAGUAGCCGGACUGAGAGGUUGACCGGCCACAUUGGGACUGAGAUACGGCCCAGACUCCUACGGGAGGCAGCAGUGGGGAAUAUUGGGCAAUGGGCGCAAGCCUGACCCAGCAACGCCGCGUGAAGGAAGAAGGCUUUCGGGUUGUAAACUUCUUUUAAGUGGGAAGAGCAGAAGACGGUACCACUUGAAUAAGCCACGGCUAACUACGUGCCAGCAGCCGCGGUAAUACGUAGGUGGCAAGCGUUGUCCGGAUUUACUGGGUGUAAAGGGCGUGCAGCCGGGCAUGCAAGUCAGAUGUG
This 596-nucleotide ribosomal RNA is filed under the name uncultured organism. Its description in RNAcentral is "bacterial SSU rRNA". It matches the Rfam family "Bacterial small subunit ribosomal RNA", at positions 1 to 596 of the family's 1533-position model. The record is from RNAcentral.